GACGAACGCUGGCGGCGUGCUUAACACAUGCAAGUCGAACGGAAAGGCCCUGCUUUUGUGGGGUGCUCGAGUGGCGAACGGGUGAGUAACACGUGAGUAACCUGCCCUUGACUUUGGGAUAACUUCAGGAAACUGGGGCUAAUACCGGAUAGGAGCUCCUGCUGCAUGGUGGGGGUUGGAAAGUUUCGGCGGUUGGGGAUGGACUCGCGGCUUAUCAGCUUGUUUGUGGGGUAGUGGCUUACCAAGGCUUUGACGGGUAGCCGGCCUGGGAGGGUGACCGGCCACAUUGGGACUGAGAUACGGACCAGACUGCUACGGGAGGCAGCAGUGGGGAAUAUUGCACAAUGGGCGGAAGCCUGAUGCAGCAACGCCGCGUGCGGGAUGACGGCCUUCGGGUUGUAAACCGCUUUCGCCUGUGACGAAGAGUGAGUGACGGUAAUGGGUAAAGAAGCACCGGCUAACUACGUG
This 468-nucleotide ribosomal RNA is filed under the name uncultured bacterium. RNAcentral describes it as "partial 16S ribosomal RNA". It matches the Rfam family "Bacterial small subunit ribosomal RNA", at positions 28 to 507 of the family's 1533-position model. The record is from RNAcentral.